UUUUGUUGCUUCGAUGGCAGGCCACAGCGGCCGCAAUUGGAGUGACCCACGGAUCUCUCGACUUACUGAUCAAUGCCAGACAACAUCCUUUCGAUCCCAAAUGUUAUACAACCAGGUCUGUCCUUCACAAUUUUUCCAUCUGUUCUUCACAUUGGAGCACUGCUUUCCAGUUUGCAUUCGGUGGGUUAUGGGAUUAUUAUGGCUUAUAGCAUAUGAAGUCAUCAAGGUAGAGAUUACUGCCAUCCUUUCUGCUCCCAGUUGUGUCAGCAUUCCUCUAGUCCCUGGGGUGUGCUUACUCCAAUGUCUGAAAGUAUCUUGUAUUGUACUCCGACGACUGAAUUGAUAUCUUUUUUGUUAGCACCUGCGUCUAUUUCUGAAGAUUGGAGCAACCUUGGAAACAGGGAAGGGUUGCUCGUUGGUUGCAGAUAUGAGCGCUAGGGUUGGCUCGAUAGACAUUGGUUUGGAAGGCUGGCAUUCGUACAGAGCUUCUAAAACUGCACCGAAUCAAUUGACAAAGACUGCAUCAGUCGAGUUGGGCAAGAGGGACAACAUCGCCUGCAUUUUGCUACAUCCAGGAACAGUUGACACCGACCUCUCACGGCCAUUCCAAUGAAAUGUUGCCAAGGAUAAGAUCUUAAGGGAGCUCUUUACACAGAAGCUACCGUCCAUCACUGACAAUGCCAGAAGACCGACAACGGGAAGUUCUUCGCUUGGGAUGGUCAAGAAAUCCCAUGGUGACCACUGUUUUUGGUCAGUGACUGUCGCCCCUUCUAUUUUUUUUGUGUCUUCUUUUUACCACUCUUAUUUCUUAUUUGGAACCGCUUGUGCCUUUUUAGCUUUGAAUUAAAAAGCUUUACUCACUCCAGUUAGAUAUCUGAUUUGAAAACCAUGACUCUGUGGGCAACUGGGCAUAUCUUCACUAUGGCCUCAGGUGAGGUACGACAAUAUUUGCACACGUCCGCGGAAUAUUCGACCUCGGCGUGGCGUAGCACAUGGCAAGGGCGAAGAUCUGGUCGGCACCCACACCAAGGGUGCCAUUGUAGAAGCUUCCAUUUUCGGCGGUUGCCGUGGUGAUGGUCUGCAGGAGGCGGUAAAGGUUCUUGUGGUACUGGCUUCCGUUGCUGUAGUUGUCAGCAGUGGAGCACGAGAUCAGGGAUUGGUGGACAUUGUCCACAAGUGCGCCGAUGACGAAUAGGAGUAGCAGAAGGUGAAGCAUGGAGUUUGAACCAUGGCCGGCCAGUGGUGACUUUUAAGGCCGGCCAGCCGUGACUUUUUUUAAGGCCGGCCAGUGGUGACUUUUUUUUAAGGCCGGCUAGUGGUGACUUGGUCGACAGGAUAACGUAACACAUCCCUUGGCAAGGCUAAUUAUAUGAUACGUUGGGAGUAACUAGGACUUUGGCACUAGCUCAGCAAAUUUUUUUUGAGGGAAAUACGAGCUCAGCAUUUGGUAGAUUCUAUUACCACAAGACAAAGACUCGUAGCUAUCUCCCACUGAGGUCCAACGGUGACCGAGUCUCCGUUGAUUUUUCUCUUGAUUGCUACCAGAAUUACUUUUUUUGUCACUAUCAAAAUUCAAAGUUGAUUGCCUGUAGUGGAUUAUUCGUAGCAUGAGCCAUAUGGACACAUGUGUCAUUCAAGGCACGGCCAAAUUUUCACAAGUCUUGCAAAACUAGUAAUUACACAUCUCUAUCAAAAUGCAUAGCAUUUCCCGAUAAGUGAAAUAAUAAUUUAUUAUAGAUCAGCGGAGAUUUCCUUUUCAUCAGUAUGUAGCAAAAACUGAAUCAUUUGUUUGCCUCAUUGCAAGAAAAAAAACCCUGUACAGGAGAAGACAUUGUACCAUAAAAAACCCUUUAAAGGAUCAGCUGAUCGAUCAGCCAGGAGCAAAGGUGAGUUCAACCUGUACCUUUUCUUAACAGGCAAGAGCUCUGCUUUUCAAUUGAUAUGUAGUACUCUCUCUGUUCAUAAAUAUAAGAUAUUUUGAAUAUUUUAAUAUGAACUACAUACAGACUAAAAUGGGUGAACAAACACGCCAAAACGUGUCUAUAUACAUUCCAUUUAGAAAAAUAUUAAAACAUCUCAUAUUUGUGAACUGAGGGAGUAGGAGAGAGCAUAGGCCUACGGCCAAACCGAAAA
Aegilops tauschii subsp. strangulata is the source of this 2133-nucleotide non-coding RNA. NCBI's taxonomy places the organism in Eukaryota, Viridiplantae, Streptophyta, Magnoliopsida, Poales, Poaceae. The record is from RefSeq and is a predicted model, not a curated record.